RNAcentral lists this ribosomal RNA (347 nucleotides) under uncultured soil bacterium. RNAcentral describes it as "bacterial SSU rRNA". It matches the Rfam family "Bacterial small subunit ribosomal RNA", at positions 26 to 377 of the family's 1533-position model. The record is from RNAcentral.
AGAUUGAACGCUGGCGGCAGGCCUAACACAUGCAAGUCGAGCGGUAGAGAGGUGCUUGCAUCUCUUGAGAGCGGCGGACGGGUGAGUAAUGCCUAGGAAUCUGCCUAGUGGUGGGGGAUAACGUUCGGAAACGGACGCUAAUACCGCAUACGUCCUACGGGAGAAAGCGGGGGACCUUCGGGCCUCGCGCCAUUAGAUGAGCCUAGGUCGGAUUAGCUAGUUGGUGAGGUAAUGGCUCACCAAGGCGACGAUCCGUAACUGGUCUGAGAGGAUGAUCAGUCACACUGGAACUGAGACACGGUCCAGACUCCUACGGAGGCAGCAGUGGGAAUAUUGGACAAGUGGGG